UGCGCGCCAAACUGCGCCGCGACCGCUGCACGUGUUCCACUGUGCAGGCCACCGCGACCGAUCCAACUAGUAUACUGUGUUUGCAUUCAGCCGCUCCGUGUGAAUUUCUGUGCCUUUCAAGGUUGCUGACGCUGAAUGAGAGCUCAACAGCGUCACCCAGCGCAAGCCUCCGAGCAACACAACCGCACAACGUCAAAGGGCCGCCCACUACGAGAAGAAGGCGUGAGAUGCCGUGACGCCCACUCCCCGUCACGUGCGGCGACGGCGAGGACGCAGCUCUGGUCUCUGCAGAUGCAGAAGAGC
Schistocerca gregaria is the source of this 303-nucleotide long non-coding RNA. RefSeq lists it as uncharacterized. Lineage: Eukaryota; Metazoa; Arthropoda; Insecta; Orthoptera; Acrididae. The transcript has 4 exons. The record is from RefSeq and is a predicted model, not a curated record.